GGAAGGAGGGAGGGAAAUGAGGAAAGAGAGAAAAGAGGUGGGGCUGGGGAGGCACUCUCUUCUCUGCAGAGCCUCCAGGUCACACCCCAAUGCCAUUCAUCUCUGAACUCUUGCCACCAACCACUCAGUGAGAUGGAAUUAAUGAGCAAAUUACCAGUGAGCUCACAUUCCCAGGUCAUCUUUUCCUCCUGAGCUAAAUGUUUUCCUCCUGUCCUCUUUAGCAGCACCCAAGGAGCCAUGUCACCUCUGGGCCUAGGGAGGAAAGUUCCAGGGAACAAGCAGGUUCUAGAAAGACCAUUAUGGGCUCAGGGCAAUAUGCCUCCCCUUUUCCCUCCCUUAAGCCUCAAGAGCCAUUCUCCUGUCUCCUGACAAGCUGCCGUCUGUCUCUGAGAAACAUGCCCUUCUUUUAGAUCAAUAACGAGCUUGUGCCUCUUUAUUCAGGAGCAAAAACAAAAUGUUCUGUAUUUAAAAAGCAGACAAGAGUCAGAGGCUCUCCCAUAAUACUUAGCCCCAAGUGAAGAGCCAGGAUAGGUUGACUCCAUGAAAAACAGAUGCCCAGUAAACUUGAAUUUCAGAUAUACAGCAAAUAAUUUAGAAGUAUAGUGUGUCACAAACAUAUAACAUACCUAUAUUUUAAAAAAUAUUCCCUGAUUAUCUGAAAUUAAUGGUUUAACCUGGACAUCUGGUGCCUUUAUUUGCCAAAUCUGACAACCCUAAUCAGGGCAAUGUCUUCCCAGCCAAGUGGGACCUGUCCUUGGCUCACCCUGGAUGUCUCACGGUCCUGAGCUCCUGCCAAAGGCCUCUUUGCAUCCCACCUUCAUCUCUUCCCUCCAUCCUUCUCAUCCUAAUUCACUUUCUUAAAGAGUUUGGGAUUUUGCCCUCCUUCCUUCCUGUCUUCUUUAUCUCUCCCUUCUUCCCUUCUUUCUUCUAUUUUUGGUUUUAUUGUUAUUUGUCUGUCUGUCUGUCUAUUUGCAGUACUAGGGGUCAAACCCAGGCUCUGGAGUUAACUAAGCAAGCAUUCUACAGAGCUACAUCCUCAGCUCCUCUACUCUCUCAGCUUCCCUUAUUCCUUUUAAGGUUCAGCUAUUUUAUGUUUGAAUGUUUUGCCUACGUGUCUGUCUGUGCACCACAUGCAUACCUGGUAUUUGCAGAGGAAAGAAAGAAGGAAAAGGAAGGAAGGGAGGGAGGGAGGGAGGGAGGGAGGGAGGGAGGAAGGAAGGAAGGAAGGAAGGAAGGAAGGAAGGAAGGAAGGAAGGAAGGAAGGGAAAGAGAAAAAAGAAAGAGAAGAAAAAGAAGAAAAGUGCUGAAUCCGUGGAUCUAGUUAUGGCUGUGAAUAACCAUGUAGAUGCUUGGGAUUCAACCACAGGUCCUCUGGAACAGCAGGAAAUGCUUUUAAACACACCAAGCUAUCACCCGAGGCCCCAGCCCUGUGGUUUUUAAGACAAGGUCUGGCUAUGAAAGACCUUGCUUUUACCUGCCACGUGCUGAUGCUCCAAGCUAUACUGCCCCACAAGACCCAGCCCCUCCAUUCAUUUUACUAAAUGUUUCCAGCCUCCUGACACCCUUUCCAGGAGCUGUGUACACGAGAUGACAAAUCAGAUAUGGUCCCUGAUCUUGAAGAGCUGACGCCCUGGGGUUGGAGGAGAGAUGACAUAGACAAGGGAGUAUGAAAGAAAGUGGAAAGCGAAUGCAUUAAAGUCCAAUGGCUCAAUGUAGAAUGGAGGAGUGCAUAGGAGUUCCUAGCCUUGUCAAAGUGUCCAGAUUUGAAUCUCUCCACACCUCAAUUUUCUAAUCUGUAAAAUGAGCUGAUCCGAGAUAGCAUUUGCAUUAAAGGGACUUUUAGUAUUGCAGAGAUAUUUUAAAUUCAAGUGCAAAGCUAACAUAGACAACAUACAUGAUUUUAAAAUCUGAGUAAUAGAUAUAGCAAAUUAACUAAACUACUACCUGCAUUAUUUUAAAAUUUUGAAAAUUUCCACCAAUAUUAGGACGUUUGCUGGCUGCCAUCUUACAAGUGGCCACAUGGGGGCAACAAAGUACCAUACAAACUGAGACUGAGCUGGUCAAGCACCCCAUUAACCCAUAAUUCACUCAUAUUUUGUCUGGUCAUUUAAAUGACUUUAAUGAACUCUGAGUAUGUUCAGGAAAAAGAAUUGAAUCAAGGUGUAGUCCACCCUUAACCUCAGCCAUCAGGAGGGCAAGGCAGGCAGAUCUCUGGGAGUUCAAGGCUAGCUACAGCUACAUAGUGAUACCUUGCCAAGAAAGAAUGAAAGAAGAGGGGAAAGGAAGAGGAGGAGGACUAUGCCCCUGCCCCACUCCUGUCCUCCUGAGGUUUCUGACAAGCCCCUAAGGUAGGCACUAUCACCAUAUCUGUUUUAGACACAGAGAUUCUGGGAAAUUAGAAAUGUUUCCUCUUCUGAAAUGGUCCCUGAAGAGGAGCUAGGGAAAAUAUAAGAGCCAGAGAUCAAGGAAGAUUGAAGCAAAAUAGUCUUCUGGAGAGGAUGGCCCGUUGCACUUAGGAAUGCACAGCAGCUGUGGUUGGCUGCACAAGAUGAAGCCAGUGAACACCCCAGCCUGGAGUUGGCGUGGUGGUUUGAAUGUGUUUGGCUAUUAGGAGGCGUGACCUUGUUGGAGUACAUGUGGCCUUUGUUGCAGGAAGUGUAUCACCAUGGAGGUGGGCAAUGAGACCCUCCUCCUAGCUGUCUGAAGUCAAUCUUCUCCUUUUUGCCUUCAAAACAAGAAGUAGAAUUCUUAGCUCCUCCAGUGCCAUGCCUGCCUGGAUGCUGCUGUGCUUCUGGCCUUGAUGAUAAUGGACCAAACUUCUGGACCUGUAAGCCGGGGCCAAUUAAAUGUUGAACUUUAUAAGAGUUGCCCUGGGCGUGGUGUGUCUUCACAGCAAUGGAAACUCAAACUAAGACGGAAGUUAAUCCCUGGGACUGGGGUGUUGCUGUGAUGGGCCUGACCAUGGUUUUGUUUGGAGGGAUGUGGAUUUGGGGGCUUUGAAUUUGGAAAGCUAUGGAAUGCUUUAAGUAGGACUUGAUGGGCCAUCCCAGUAGGAAUAUGGAAGACAUUGGUGCUGAGGGUGAUUUGAACUCUGGAGAUCUUUCUUAAUGACGUUUUGGUGAAGAAUGUUGCUGCUUUCUACCCUUGUCUGAAAAGUCGGCCUGAGGCUAAGGUAAAGAGAUUUCGGUCAAUUGCAUUGACAAAGGAAGUCUCAGAAAAGCCCAGCAUAGACUGUGUCCUCUGGUUUACUCUCAUGAAGAGAGUUUUGAUCAAGCACAGCAAGCUUAGGCAUUGAAGAAGUUGGAAACAGAAAGCUAGUGAUAAUGCAAUAGAACAAGGGGGCCAUGUUCUAGCCCCAGCAAGCAGCAGAACUCAGCAACUUUAGCCAUGUUGCUCUGGCUUUAGAGUUAAGACUAGAAGGGCCUACUGGCAUGAUUGAUGCUGCUUAGCUGGAGCUAAGAAAUUAGUGGUGAUUAAGAAGAGACCAGCAUAAUUGAAAUGAAAUAUUCUUGCAAGUAUCUUCUGAGAGCACAAAGAAGCUGUGUUCCAGAGAUAGCCAAGGUUGUACCUCAUGCUGCAGUUGGACUUGGUAAUGUGUAAGAAUCACCCAGGUAGUACUGGUUUUGAAGGCAUGAAGGGGUCAUGGAGAGCAGCUGAGGCUUGGCACUGUGAGAGGCCAGGGAAGGUCAUUGGUGAAGGUGCAGCCUCAGUUGCAGGUAACAGCCCAGGACUUAAGGGGUCAGGCAAAGGAGGAGAAUUGGCACCAUGAAGAGAGCCUUUAAGAAGUUAUGGGUGAAACCUAAUUGUAGCCUCCCUCAGCCCUGAAGCAGGCUGAUCCAGACUUUGACCUUGCUGCCACUGAGAAGAUUACCUAGGGUGGAGCCUUCCGACCUAGAUGGCUCUUUUGUUCAGUCACCUGCCACUGCUCUCUCCAAGGCACUGCUACCUGCCAAGAAUCCCCUGAGAUGUUCUGGAGGAACCUCCUAUUCUGCACUGUCGCCUACAGGCUGGCUUCAGACACCAAGAAUGGACUGGCAGGGGAUGGGCUUUCCCCUUUUAUAGGCACACUCUCUUAGUAAACUGGUGGGCCUUGAACAGAAUCAUGUCUUGGUCUCCAUUAAUCUCUCGCCGUCUAAGUCUCUUUCAGCCCCAGCCUGCCUCCCAGGUGUACCCAGUUCAAGUAGACCACAGGCUGGCAUACAACAGAUUGGUGUCUGAGCCAGGGACCUUGAGAACGGCGGGAAAGCACUCAGGGAAUCACUGUCUUGUAUGGAACUCCAAGGGGAGAAAAGAAUCAGAGAUCGAAUCGGGCAUGGUGAGCAACAGCCUGCCUCCCAAGUGUACCCCGUUCAAGUAGGCCACAGGCCGGCAUACAACACCUAGUUGCAGUAGAAUACCACAGUGAAUUGGAGGUGUCACUUCCAUGGGAUGAUCACCAAGAACAGCAGCAGCAGUGGAGUGGAGUCAACCAGAGUGCUACAGAGGGCAGAGCUGGAGAAGUGACACAACCCUUUGGAGAAGCCCAGAAGAUCCUACGUGGAUCCAAGACACUGGAAUGAGAAGCUGUAAAGUUGAAGUUGCCUCGGAUACCUCAAUAUGUUAGAGAUGUCAGAGCCAUG
This is a long non-coding RNA of Mus musculus (house mouse), 4619 nucleotides long. RefSeq annotates it as predicted gene, 26799. Lineage: Eukaryota; Metazoa; Chordata; Mammalia; Rodentia; Muridae. The transcript has 2 exons. The record is from RefSeq and is a predicted model, not a curated record.